UAUACAUAUCAAAAGAGUGGUCUUCUUACGCCUUUCUCUUCAUUGAGAACUUCAUGAGAAAAAACCCUCCAGUGAAUUGAAGGUUUCUUCAAACCCAUAUCCAGCAAAGGAAUUUUUCGAUCAAGUAUACAUAUCGUUCUCUACCACAAUAGCUCGCUGAAAAUGGUGUUGUCGUAAUAUCCAAUAUCAUAGUGUGUAGAUGAUACUAUGUGAAUAGCCUUCAAGCUUCAACAUCUCUUCAAGCUAGUUUGAAAAACUCUACAAUUAGUUGCUUAUACUUGAUCUGAUUUCCUUUUUUGGUUAUUCUGUAAUUCAAUUUUUGUAGAUUGUAAAUUAAUUAUUUCUUCCAUGUCAAUUAUGAUUAAAUUCUGAAAAGUGUGAUAUGUAAUUGGAAACGUGUGCUGGUGUCUUUACUUGUCAUUGGUUGCCUUGGUCCUCAUGUCUCCGCUCCUCUCUUAGACCAUCAUAAUAACCUCUUAUGCCUUCUUACCAUUUUUUUCAGGGUGUUGCAAAUUAGUUACGUGAAGAGAAUAUUGUCGUCAUUGAAUUUGUUAGUAUGGCUGAGAAAGAUUGGAGUCAUGAUUCAAGAAGGUACAAGACAAAAGAAAAAAGUGGAAAGCCCGACAUAUGUUCAAGCUGGAACACUUACAUCUUUGGCAAAUAAAAAAAGGUUGUUGCGGACCAGAAAAACGAAUAUUCCAGCUAGCUUUAUACGAUUAACUAAAGAGCGUCAGGUUCUGAAAAAUUUAAUGGAAGAACAUUUGCUACCAAUGCCAAAACAUCAGAGGGUAGGAGCCCAUUUACAAAGUGAUUCAACCACCCCUACAACAUAAUCAGUAGAGCAAGAAGUGCAAUUGGAUGCUAAUACUCCUAUAGUAAAUGAACAAGGUAAGAACAUUUAGAUUUUAUAUUAAAAUAUUGACAUCCUAUAUCUAUUUUACUAAAUUGGAGGAUACUUUUGAUUUUUAUUAUUGUAGGAUCUUGUACUAACUAAAAAUAAAGACGUAAAACAAGGAUGCUAAGUGUACAUGGAAGGAGUGAACGUAAGUUAAUUGUGGUCAAUGAGUUUGGUCAACUUGUUGGUCCUACUAAAGAUGUUGUGAUGGAGGGUUUACCGUGAAAAUGGUAAUAACAAUUAAAUUUGUAGA
This is a non-coding RNA of Nicotiana tabacum (common tobacco), 1148 nucleotides long. NCBI's taxonomy places the organism in Eukaryota, Viridiplantae, Streptophyta, Magnoliopsida, Solanales, Solanaceae. The record is from RefSeq and is a predicted model, not a curated record.